This 497-nucleotide ribosomal RNA is filed under the name uncultured bacterium. RNAcentral describes it as "partial 16S ribosomal RNA". It matches the Rfam family "Bacterial small subunit ribosomal RNA", at positions 28 to 507 of the family's 1533-position model. The record is from RNAcentral.
GAUGAACGCUGGCGGCGUGCCUAAUACAUGCAAGUCGAGCGAACAGACGAGGAGCUUGCUCCUCUGACGUUAGCGGCGGACGGGUGAGUAACACGUGGAUAACCUACCUAUAAGACUGGGAUAACUUCGGGAAACCGGAGCUAAUACCGGAUAAUAUAUUCAACCGCAUGGUUCAAUAGUGAAAGACGGUUUUGCUGUCACUUAUAGAUGGAUCCGCGCCGCAUUAGCUAGUUGGUAAGGUAACGGCUUACCAAGGCAACGAUGCGUAGCCGACCUGAGAGGGUGAUCGGCCACACUGGAACGGAGACACGGUCCAGACUCCUACGGGAGGCAGCAGUAGGGAAUCUUCCGCAAUGGGCGAAAGCUUGACGGAGCAACGCCGCGUGAGUGAUGAAGUUCUUCGGAUCGUAAAACUCUGUUAUUAGGGAAGAACAAAUGUGUAAGUAACGAUGCACGUCUUGACGGUACCUAAUCAGAAAGCCACGGCUAACUACGUG